RNAcentral lists this ribosomal RNA (253 nucleotides) under uncultured bacterium. RNAcentral's name for it is "partial 16S ribosomal RNA". It matches the Rfam family "Bacterial small subunit ribosomal RNA", at positions 524 to 776 of the family's 1533-position model. The record is from RNAcentral.
UACGAAGGGUGCAAGCGUUGUUCGGAAUCAUUGGGCGUAAAGCGCGCGCAGGCGGAUUAGUAAGUCAGAUGUGAAAUCUCGAAGCUCAACUUCGAAACUGCGUCUGAAACUACUAGUCUAGAAUGUCGGAGGGGGCAGGGGAAUUUCACGUGUAGGGGUAAAAUCCGUAGAGAUGUGAAGGAACACCGGAGGCGAAGGCGCCUGCCUGGACGACUAUUGACGCUGAAGCGCGAAAGCGUGGGGAGCAAACAGG